This 445-nucleotide ribosomal RNA is filed under the name uncultured bacterium. Its description in RNAcentral is "partial 16S ribosomal RNA". It matches the Rfam family "Bacterial small subunit ribosomal RNA", at positions 354 to 796 of the family's 1533-position model. The record is from RNAcentral.
GUGAGGAAUAUUGCGCAAUGGACGAAAGUCUGACGCAGCCAUGCCGCGUGAAGGAUUGACGGCCCUAUGGGUUGUAAACUUCUUUUGUAUAGGAAUAAACCCUCGUUCGUGAACGAGGCUGAAGGUACUAUAAGAAUAAGCACCGGCUAACUCCGUGCCAGCAGCCGCGGUAAUACGGAGGGUGCAAGCGUUAUCCGGAUUUAUUGGGUUUAAAGGGUCCGUAGGCGGAUCGUUAAGUCAGUGGUGAAAUCCUACCGCUCAACGGUAGAACUGCCAUUGAUACUGGCGAUCUUGAGUAUGUAUGAAGUUGGCGGAAUGUGUGGUGUAGCGGUGAAAUGCUUAGAUAUCACACAGAACACCGAUUGCGAAGGCAGCUGACUAAUACACAACUGACGCUGAGGGACGAAAGUGUGGGGAUCAAACAGGAUUAGAACCCCAGUAGUCC